UGUAAGCGUAUACCAAAGUUGUUGCAGUUAAAACGCUCGUAGUCGGAAUUUGGCAGUUCCGGAUGUGUGCACGUCGUGUGCGCACUUCGCGGGGAUUGCUUUUGUGGUCUUGCGUAGGAUGAGGCACUUUUAUUAGUGAACGUCCUCACGCAACCACUUUUUACUGUGAGAAAAUCAGAGUGCUCAAAGCAGGCAUUUGCCGUGAAUGUAUUAGCAUGGAAUAAUAGAAUAGGACUUGGUUCUAUUUUGUUGGUUUGUUGGGACUGAGUAAUGAUUAAGAGGGACAGUUGGGGGCAUUUGUAUUUCGGUGCUAGAGGUGAAAUUCUUAGAUUACCGAAAGACAAACUACUGCGAAAGCGUCUGCCAAGGAUGUUUUCAUUGA
This 382-nucleotide ribosomal RNA is filed under the name uncultured eukaryote. Its description in RNAcentral is "partial 18S ribosomal RNA". It matches the Rfam family "Eukaryotic small subunit ribosomal RNA", at positions 592 to 976 of the family's 1831-position model. The record is from RNAcentral.